UACGUAGGGUGCAAGCGUUGUCCGGAAUUAUUGGGCGUAAAGAGCUCGUAGGCGGUCUGUCACGUCGGCUGUGAAAUCCCGAGGCUCAACCUCGGGUCUGCAGUCGAUACGGGCAAACUAGAGUAUUGCAGGGGAGACUGGAAUUCCUGGUGUAGCGGUGAAAUGCGCAGAUAUCAGGAGGAACACCGAUGGCGAAGGCAGAUCUCUGGGCCGUAACUGACGCUGAGGAGCGAAAGCAUGGGGAGCGAACAGG
This 253-nucleotide ribosomal RNA is filed under the name uncultured bacterium. Its description in RNAcentral is "partial 16S ribosomal RNA". It matches the Rfam family "Bacterial small subunit ribosomal RNA", at positions 524 to 776 of the family's 1533-position model. The record is from RNAcentral.